RNAcentral lists this unclassified non-coding RNA (237 nucleotides) under plant metagenome. Its description in RNAcentral is "partial contains small subunit ribosomal RNA, internal transcribed spacer 1, and 5.8S ribosomal RNA". The record is from RNAcentral.
UCUCCGUUGGUGAACCAGCGGAGGGAUCAUUAAAGAGUUCUAUAACUCCCAAACCCAUGUGAACAUACCUUACGUUGCCUCGGCAGGUCGCGCCUACCCCGUAACGUCCUACCCUGUAGGACCUACCCGGUAGACGCGGGUAAGCCUGCCGACGGCCCACGAAACUCUGUUUAAUAUUGAAUUCUGAACCUAAAACUAAAUAAGUUAAAACUUUCAACAACGGAUCUCUUGGUUCUG